Molecule: microRNA precursor, 128 nt
Filed under: Callithrix jacchus (white-tufted-ear marmoset)
Lineage: Eukaryota; Metazoa; Chordata; Mammalia; Primates; Cebidae
Description: microRNA cja-mir-612 precursor
Gene: cja-mir-612
Rfam family: mir-612 microRNA precursor family (bases 18-117)
Source: miRBase by way of RNAcentral
CUCUCUGAGCCCCUGCUUCUCAUCUGGACCCUGCUGGGGAGGGCUUCUGAGCUCCUUGGUGCUGGCAGCAGGGGCUCCAGGGGCCCUCCCUCCAUGGCAGCCAAGACAGGACAGGACUCUCAGACGAG